RNAcentral lists this ribosomal RNA (499 nucleotides) under uncultured bacterium. RNAcentral's name for it is "partial 16S ribosomal RNA". It matches the Rfam family "Bacterial small subunit ribosomal RNA", at positions 28 to 507 of the family's 1533-position model. The record is from RNAcentral.
GACGAACGCUGGCGGCGUGCCUAAUACAUGCAAGUCGAGCGAAGUUUUUCUGGUGCUUGCACUAGAAAAACUUAGCGGCGAACGGGUGUGUAACACGUAAAGAACCUGCCUCAUAGACUGGGACAACUAUUGGAAACGAUAGCUAAUACCGGAUAACAGUAUUUCUCGCAUGAGAGAUAUUUAAAAGUUGGUUAUGCUAACACUAUGAGAUGGCUUUGCGGUGCAUUAGCUAGUUGGUGGGGUAAAGGCCCACCAAGGCGACGAUGCAUAGCCGACCUGAGAGGGUGAUCGGCCACACUGGGACUGAGACACGGCCCAGACUCCUACGGGAGGCAGCAGUAGGGAAUCUUCCGCAAUGGGCGAAAGCCUGACGGAGCAACGCCGCGUGAGUGAAGAAGGAUUUCGGUUCGUAAAGCUCUGUUGUUAGGGAAGAAUGGAUAUGUAGUAACUAUACAUGUAAGAGACGGUACCUAACCAGAAAGCCACGGCUAACCACGUG